GUAGGUGGCAAGCGUUGUCCGGAUUUAUUGGGCGUAAAGCGAGCGCAGGCGGUUUCUUAAGUCUGAUGUGAAAGCCUUCGGCUCAACCGAAGAAGUGCAUCGGAAACUGGGAAACUUGAGUGCAGAAGAGGACAGUGGAACUCCAUGUGUAGCGGUGAAAUGCGUAGAUAUAUGGAAGAACACCAGUGGCGAAGGCGGCUGUCUGGUCUGUAACUGACGCUGAGGCUCGAAAGCAUGGGUAGCAAACAGGAUUAGAUACCCUGGUAGUCCAUGCCGUAAACGAUGAGUGCUAGGUGUUGGAGGGUUUCCGCCCUUUAGUGCCGCAGCUAACGCAUUAAGCACUCCGCCUGGGGAGUACGACCGCNAGGUUGAAACUCAAAGGNAUUGACGG
RNAcentral lists this ribosomal RNA (391 nucleotides) under uncultured bacterium. Its description in RNAcentral is "bacterial SSU rRNA". It matches the Rfam family "Bacterial small subunit ribosomal RNA", at positions 527 to 916 of the family's 1533-position model. The record is from RNAcentral.